Molecule: unclassified non-coding RNA, 213 nt
Filed under: plant metagenome
Description: partial contains small subunit ribosomal RNA, internal transcribed spacer 1, and 5.8S ribosomal RNA
Source: RNAcentral
UUUCCGUAGGUGAACCUGCGGAAGGAUCAUUCCUAAUACGUGUUUUAUGGCACUUUUUUAAAUCCAUAUCCACCUUGUGUGCAAUGUCAGGGUUGAUUUUUCUCUCGAGAGGAUCAACACCAAACAUCAACUAUAUCUCAACUCUAUGUCUGAAAAAUAUUUUGAAUAAAACAAUUCAAAAUACAACUUUCAACAACGGAUCUCUUGGCUCUC